UUUCCGUAGGUGAACCUGCGGAAGGAUCAUUAAUGUGUUUGGGCCUCACGGCUCUUCAUUCCGACGCUGUGCGCCUUCGGGCUGCACGCUGAGGGAGCAUAUAUCCACCCCUGUGCACACACACGGUGGCGAGCUGGGUAACGGCUCGCCGCUGAUCUUUACACACGUCUAAAAGUCACUGUAUGUUUAUUUGAGAUAAAAACACAACUUUCAGCAACGGAUCUCUUGGCUCUC
RNAcentral lists this unclassified non-coding RNA (234 nucleotides) under plant metagenome. Its description in RNAcentral is "partial contains small subunit ribosomal RNA, internal transcribed spacer 1, and 5.8S ribosomal RNA". The record is from RNAcentral.